RNAcentral lists this non-coding RNA (170 nucleotides) under Arthrobacter sp. ok909. The record is from RNAcentral. Lineage: Bacteria; Bacillati; Actinomycetota; Actinomycetes; Micrococcales; Micrococcaceae.
GUCAUCGUGAGAUGGGGUGGGAAGGAAGCCGGAGGCAAAUCCCUGCACCGAGGGACACGAACCGCAUAGAAGGCAUGCCGGUCGGGGUGAGCCAGCAACAGAUGGUGAAGCCCGUCCCACCGAAACGGCCGGUGUGUAAAUGCGGCGGCGGCAGGGGGAAAGUGAAUGUU